GGUUUUAUAGUCAAAUUUAUGAUAUUAAAUUGCAAAUUUAAAGUUGAAUUUAAAAUUCUAGAACUU
Molecule: transfer RNA, 66 nt
Filed under: Phalops smaragdinus
Lineage: Eukaryota; Metazoa; Arthropoda; Insecta; Coleoptera; Scarabaeidae
Description: tRNA-Cys
Source: RNAcentral